AUGGAAACUAAUCCUUUGAGGGGCUUGUUCGGGGUAUCUUCACCUCAACCAGUAGAGCAAAGAGUUGCUCCUCAACCUACUGAACCUAUUGAAAAUGUUUACUUUGAGUUUCCUUCGGGUAUGAUAGAGAAACUGCUAGCUAAUCCUUUUGUAGGAUAUGGAACAUUGCAUCCCGAUUUACACCUUAUCUUUGUGGAUGAAGUUUGUGGAUUAUUUAAGCUUUCAAGUAUUCCCGAUGAUGUUCUUAAGAGGAAGGUCUUCCCUUUAUCUUUGAAGGGAGACGCAUUGACAUGGUAUAGGCUAUGUGAUGAUACAUGA
RNAcentral lists this ribosomal RNA (318 nucleotides) under Triticum aestivum (bread wheat). RNAcentral describes it as "partial small subunit ribosomal RNA". Lineage: Eukaryota; Viridiplantae; Streptophyta; Magnoliopsida; Poales; Poaceae. The record is from RNAcentral.